UCGCAGCUAAAGCACUAAGGCUACACAAUAAAAACCGUGACACAACCUUAAGGGAGCUGGGACAGCAAGGCUCAGUCUCCCACUCCUUUUUGUCUUCCUAUUUUGAGUGCUACCCUGGGGGAUGUUUUCUUUCCCGUCCAAAGGACAAAGGUCAAGGAGUCAGCCAUGCCAUGCCCUAGCCUCAGAGAACAAGGUCAGCAGGUGACUCCUUCAAAAGAAACUACUUGGCAACACCCCUGACUGUUUCCCCUGGCAUUUUGGUCUGCCUUCUCUUUCUGCCAUUGUUCCCGGAAUAGCAGUAUCUGCACCUGUGUAUCCUCAGUCACUGCCCAAUCUCAAGACACAUUUGCAAAACUGUAUUGUCCUCUCCCAGUCACACAAGUUGCUCUCAGAAUAUUGCACGUGACUUGUGGUCUUUAUUUAUUUAUUUAUUUAUUUUUUUCCUAUUUGGCACUUUUUUUUUCCAGUUCCAAGCAUGUGCCCACCCCUGUGCUGAGUGCCUCCUGCCCAAGGAAGCUUGUAGUUUAUUUAAGAUCUGUGCACUUAAGAACAAAUAAUAAAUAACACAUUGGGAACAUAUCUUGAGUGGAGCAGCGUGGGGGACAGUGAAGAAUUCUGCAGCUCCUUCCAGUCAACUGCACUCAAGGCAGGCAGAGUGAGGGUUGGAGCUUCAAGGAGUGACACCAAUGGAAUAAAAUAUUGGGGGGCUGAGAGAUGGGAGAGAAAGGUAAAAGGGACCUUUACGACUUCUAAAUAGUUAUGUGAAUUAUAGGGAGCUGUUCUCAGAAGGCUGCGUUCUCAGAAGGCUGUGUGCUGAAGAACUGAGGCCAGUGAUUUACGAAAUCCUCAGAGCUACACUUUGCAUUCUAUUCCAUCGUCCUCCCUUUGAGCACCGUCAGCACCGGAGAUGAAUGCCUUGUUGGGCCUGACCCCGUGGUGCAAGCCUGUGAUUCAAGCUACUAAAGAGGCUGAACCAAGAAAAUCAAAAUGUUAAGGUCUGCCCGAGCUACAGAGGGAGUUCAGGGCCCACCUGUGUGGUGAGACCCUUUCUAAGAACUUCUGAAAAGCGAGAGAGCGCUGAGAGGACAGCUCCGGAGUAGAGCUCUUGCCCAGCACCCCCAGGAUCCCAGGUCAACCCCUCGGCAGCACUAAAUGAAUUCAUUUUACUUAGGAAAACACAUAAGACUCCUGGCCAUUUUAACUCAUAAGAUCAUCAGCUAAGGACUACCCAUCACAGAAGAUCUUCGUCCUUAGAGACUUGUGUUCUUUUGUUUUUGUUUUGUUUUUGCUUUUUUUUUUAUUUUGAAGUUCAACCAUUGUAUACGAAAUACAGCAUUAGAACUAAGAGUCAUUCCUGGCACUGUUCAUCUCAGAAAGCCUGUUACAAAUUAACAAAUGAGGAUAACUAUGAUUCAGGGAUGUAAGUAGUAUACACGAUAGUGCUCCCUUCACAGAUAAGGGGAAAAGCAACCACCAUCUCUUCCAUGGCAUCUACUCCAGAGAAAGGUGGGGGUUGGGGUAAUUACGUCUACAAUGAAAUGGAGGAAACUUUUAGCUUUCAACACUGCUGUGACUAGUGUGCCUUUAAACUGCAGAGUCAACUUGUCUUGGACCUGCUGUGUUGUAUCCACUCACUGUUAGGUAACCUUGAGCAUCAGGCAUAGACAGGUCCUGAUGAUUUAGGACCAUCUAUGGACCUUGCCUCUCAGUGUCUCUGGCUGUCAGACUCCUCACAGAUGAAAUCUGCAGAAUGGUUUCACUCCUACCAUCACGGGCUCAUAUGAGGUAAAGGAUAUGAAUGUUUAAAGACCCAGAUGACUCCGUCUCUAAUGUCCGAGGCACCCCUACUCUGAUUAUCCACCGCCAGCUCAUGAAAAGACAGAGGGAAACAUUGUGAACUGACUAAAACAAACAGUUCAUGGCCAGCAUAUCGGAGGAAUUGGUUUUAUGAAUUUCAAGACUAAGGAAGCUUUAAGGGGAAAGACAGCAAAGAGCUUGUGCUCUAGCUCAUCAAAGAAAAUAGCCCCACAUUCCUGUGAACCACACUUCUGACUGGCUUAUGCGAUAACUGUCCCCGUGUGCUUUAUUUCUUGACUAAGAAAGAUUUUUCUGUUCAUACAUGUUAGUUCAGCCUCCCUGCCCUUCCUCCUGCCUGGAAUAUGAAGGUGAGAGAGCAGAUAUUUGACCACAGGGGCACGUGGAUGUGGAUGAAGAGCCGGCAUUCCAGGUAUGGCACAGCAACAUGGCAGAAGUCGACAGGAGUGAACGACUCAGCCAGUCCUGAAGCCUGUGCCUGAGGCAUGAUAGGUGAUGUGUCUACAAACCGUGCUGGUCAUUCUCUGUUACCAGCUGGUAACACAGAAACUGAUUAAUGGGGAAACACCUCCACUUAGGUUAUCUCCACUCUAAAUCUGAACAAAACUGUGAGCAUCUUUCCACUAUUUUAAAGUAAGUUGCUAUUAUUUCCCUGACUAUUAAUGCAAUUAAUGUGUCUUGUGAAAUAUCUGGAAAGGGGAAGUAUAAACUCACCUAUAAUCUCACUGGCUGGAGAUAAUGACCAAUAACAUGUUAUAGCACAUGCUUCUGCACAGAAGCACUCACAUCUUAUUUUAAAAAUUAAAAAUUAAUAUUUGUUUUAAUAUCUUUCUGUUUUUCAAUAUAAUACUUCUUCUGUAUUAAGAUGUUGCCAGGGAAGGGAAAGGGGAUGGCAGUGGGGGGAGGGGAGAGGGGAACAUGAUCUAGUAUUAGGUGGGGGAAAAGGACUGAAGCCCUAGGGGCCAGCAGAAAGGAUGGAAACAGGCGACCUUGGGAGGAAGGAAGUUGGGAGGACCCUCCAGAAUGUACCAGAGGCCUGGGACGUGAGAGACUCUCAGGACUCAAAGGGGGGGGGGAUCCUAGAUGAUUGCCCUACAGUGGGGAGAGGGGAUGUGUAGAGCCCACCUCCAGCAGAAAGACAGGGCAUCAAGUGAGGGAUGGGGUUGCCAUCCCACAGCCAAAACUCGGACCCUUAAUUGUUCCUGUCUGAAAGAACUACAGGAUGGAAAUGGAGAAGAGCCUCAGGAAAAGGAGGUCCAGUGACAGGCCCAAAAUGGGAUCCAGCUCAAGGGGAGGUCCCACAACCUAACACCAUUACUGAGGCUAUAGGACGCUCACAAAAAGGACCUAUCAUGACUGCUCUCCAAAAGACCCAACAAGCAGCUGAAAGAGUCAGAUGCAAAUAUGGACACCCAACCAAUGAACAGAAACUGCUGACCCCUCUGUUGAAGUAAGGAAAGCUGGAGGAAGCUGAGAAGGAAGGCAGCCCUGUAGGAGGACCAGCAGUCUCAAUUAACCUGGACCCCCCCAAGAUCUCUCAGGUACUGGAUCACCAACCAGGCAGCAUACAGCAGCUGAGAUGAGGCCUCAAACACAUAUUUAGCAGAGGACUGCCCAUCUGUGUUCAAUCACAGAAGAUGCAGAGACUGGAGGCCCCAGGAAGGUUAGAGGUCUGGUGGGGUGGGGAGUGGUGACAUCCUCGUGGAGAAGUGGGGGGAGGAGAUAUGGGAUGGGGAACAGUUGGAGGGUAGACCAGGAAGGGAGUAAAAUCUGGAGUGUAAAAGUUGAUUAAAAAAAUAAAAAAAAAGACAUUUGCCUAUAGUGUUAUUUUAAUGGCUAUAUGGCAUAUAACAUUAUAUGGAAACAUUAGUAUUUAUUACUCUCUUCACUAUGGGUCUCUUACAGAUUAUCUCCAAAUUUUCAAUGUUUGAAACCCCAAAGUUACUCAUAUAUAUAUAUAUAUAUAUAUAUAUAUAUAUAUAUAUAUAUACACAUGGUGCACAAGCAUGUGAACAAAUGUUCAUCACAUGAAAAAAUAAAACACAGUUUAAAGCAGCAUGUUGUGGCACUACUUGAGUUGUGACACAUACAAAAUUGCACAGGCCUACUACCCAUUACAGUAUGCCAUAUACCCAGAACCUUCUUAAAUCAAUACGCCAAUACAAAUUCCAUCAAUGAACUCAGCAAUCAGAAAAAAAAGGUAAUAAAAAACCUUCCAUGUACAAAAUGUCUAAUGGAUCACCCAGCUAAGCAUGACACAUAGGCUGGAAACAGAAGAUGUUAGCAUAGGCCACAGCAUAGAAUCUGCUGUCAAAUCAGAGCCUUGGGGAGAAGCCGAUGGUAGGCUCUCCCUGGCUGGCUGGGCCUUUUGUACCACCAAAUAGUAUUUCACAGCUUGGCCCCAGGACCGGUUUCUGUAGGACAGUUCCCAAGAACUAUCUUAGAAAGCCAGACAAGGGUUUUAAGUACUGUGAGAUAGGAGUGUUCGGGAAAUAUGACAUCUGCCUUCACAGACUUUGGUGACACAAGAGACUCUAAUGGGCAGGUAUUGGUGGUGCACUUACACAGGGUGACCAGCUUUCUAGUUACCCACUUCGCUCCUUUUACCCCUCGGUGCUUUUAUCAUCAUAAUUAGAUCUUGAUAUGAUCUGUGUAUUCCACAGAGUCACUUUAAAACUUAGCCGUCCCCCUUUGCACCUGUUAGUCACUCAAUGCUAGAGUUUAAGAUUUUGUCCUUUUGUGAUGAAAUGGAGCGUACAGUUCUCUUGAUUUUUAGCCCAUCUAAAAUGAAAGAGAAUAAGCUGUCAGCAAGAGGAGGUAAUUUAGCCAGAAUUCCUGUGCUCUGUACUUGAGCUAUGAACGGUCUUCGUAAGGGCCUUGUGCACUUUUAAACUUUAAUAACUCUGGUGGUGCGUGUAAGAGAAACAAUCUGUAAAUGGUACUCAAAAGUAAAUGUAUUAAAUUUUAGGACAACUACAUUACACAAUUGCACACAAUAUGUACUCAUUUCAGCUCCUGUGACAAAUGAAAUAUGGCCAGCAGAAUUGAAGUUCACAACAGCUCUAAGAAGAAAAUUGAAUUUGCCUUUAAAUUCCAUUUACAGUUUACUAUCUUGUCCACCUCGUAUGCUUUUGAGGUUAAGUUUGGAAAUGGCAUAGACUUUAUAAAGAUCCCGUACUUGAAUUCAAUGAUAAGUAUAGCUAGAGAGAACAUCAUAUCAUCUCUUAGCAAAAAUAAUAUACCUGCUUACUUUGGCUGCUUUUAAAACAGCUUCAGAGAUAGAAGGAAUCGUGAGUCUCCACAGUUGGUACAACGUAGUAAACAGGAAUGAGACGGAGUGUCUGAAGCAGGAGACUAGCUCUCAGUGAGGGCAAUAGCUUGCUGAGGGAUUGAGGAAGCUAAGAUUUCUUCCAUCUUUUUAAGUUUUUUGUUUUUGUUUUUAACCCUAUGGGGCCACCAACUGAAGAUGAAAUAGAGUUUAUAAGUGUGACCGUAGACAAACAAAAAAGGAAUUGUAUAUACUCCCCCAUGUAAUCUUGUAUAUCACAAGGACAAAUCACGAGAAAAAACAAACACAAAACAAAUCUAAAUAAAGCAGUAGUCUUUUCUACCUUUUUUAAAACAGGAGGUUGCAAAAUCAAAGACCCCAAGUCUACCAAAAAAAAAAAAAUUCGGGUGUGUGCAGUUGGGAAGGAGAACAGGAGGACAGGAAUGAGAGACCACUCUUCAAGUCCUUGCUGAAUACACAGAGCCAGGAAGAAUUAUGCAAGCCGUAGAUUGCUUUGGCUGGUCUCUGUGUGCUUUGCAAAGUGAUUCAUUUCCUGUAUUUGGUCAAGAUAGGGGAGAGUCGGGCACACACAAAUGUGAUGUAGCUUUUGAUCAGCGACGUUUAUCAGCUAAGUGGGUAAGAUUUCAUGAUAGGUAUGGAGAGCAUUUUAGUGCUUAAGAUCUAGGCUGACCGGAGAGAAUGCUGGGUUCCAAAGGUGUCCACGUGUCGAGCUCCCACUUCGGGAAUCUUUUCUCUUCCUUACUGCUUUCCCAGAGAGAUGCUUAGUGUUCCGCUCAGUCACCCCUCCUCAUAAAGGAAUCUGAAAAACAUCUUUCUGCAAUGAGCAUUGCUUUUAGAGCCACCAGUGGCAUUUCGUUUUAACACAAGAGAAGCUUAAGAACUAACCCUCUAAUUGAAUGAUUUUAGGCAACUCUAGGUAGAGUUGGAGGAGAAUUUAGGGGAAGUGAAUUCAAAAGGUCAGGAGGGUUCGUGAAGCCAAGCAUUCUGUCCUGGGGGAGUCCUCUUCUCAGUGGAUAGCACACUCAGUAGCUAGCCUUCACCUAAUGCCAGUCAAGGGUCACAGGCAGGAUUUUGGAGGCAGCCUGGAAAUGUGGGAAUGCAAAUGUUUAAGUGACUGAUGCACUUUCUUUUUAAAGAAUAGGAAUGCAAAUGACUCCUAAGGUUUUCUCAGCAGUACAAGCAAGGCAGUGGCUACUGGAAAACUUGCAGAAGCAGUAAAUAUCUUAAUUGCUACAAUCACCAAACCUGGCCUCUUAAUCCAGGGCUCAAAUAUGAGGGGCCCUUUACUCAAAAAAUAGAGGAGUUCCUACAUUAGACAAUCUUUGCAUCUUCAAAGGCACAAAGAAGAAAAAAAACCCUCAUCUGUGUUGGUACUAGUUUUGAAAUGUUUUGUUAAAGUCUCGGGACUUUAUUAAUAUAUUGAAAUAUAUUAAUGUCUCCAUCCCAUUACGAAGCUCUUCAUUAUCAGAUUGUAACAGUGUGAUGUGCUCAUUGAACUAUUAUCUGAUUUGAACAAUCACUCAAAGCUCUCACGGUUGGCUUACCUUGUACGAAAUUGUGUCGAGCCCCUUUGUGAAUGGUAAAGACACCAGGAUGUCUUAAACCAAAGCCCCAGUCAAAAGCAGCAUGGAUCCCAAAAUGCCAGAUCCCAAGUUCUUCAUGCCGUCAUCUGGGAGAAGAAUGUUAAUGCAUAUGUCACCAGCAGAAAUAUUUACAGGCUGCUCAGGAAAUUUACUGAAACUUUUAAAAGCAUUAUACAUUUAGCCCACUAAUUAGAUUUUCUUUCUUUCUUUCUUUCUUUCUUUCUUUCUUUCUUUCUUUCUUUCUUUCUUUCUUUCUUCCUUCCUUCCUUCCUUCCUUCCUUCCUUUCUUCUUUCUUUCUUUCUUUCUUUCUUUCUUUCUCUCUCUCUUUCCUUCUUCCUUCCUUCCUUCCUUCCUUCCUUCCCUCCUCCUCCUGCUCCUCCUCCUCCUCCUCCUUUGCCAGCUUUAUGGGUUUGACUGGAACUUAUUUGAAUAGAAAUCUGGGAAAUUUUGUCCUCGCUGUGUUAUACCCAAAAUGCUGGAGUCAGCAAUUCUAACCCUCGCUUUCCCACUGAAUCCCCAAACUCCAGUUUCCUCCUCCGUUAUGAGUAAAAUUAAGACAAAAACAGAGACUAAUGAGUGUCACUGAAGAUAAAUUCCUAAUUGGCAGGGGAAAAAAAAGCCUACAAAAUACAUUCACGUGCAUAGGGAGUACCAUAGUCAUGAAUGAGAGACUCGCACAGAGCAGGAAUGAAAGGAACUGACUUCUCCAUUGCUUUGGGCAUCACCAUUCUUCUGUCGUCAACACUGGGUUCAGGUGGAAUCCAGGAAAAUGCUCUUCAUCUAUCUCAGCAUCUAUGGGGCCACCACAUUUGGGAGAAGGAACACUGGUCCUCACCAACUUUUCUGCCUUCAUUGUGUCUGGAAAAGACUGUGUCAGCCCUACUGUGUCCCCAGCUGUCAGAGUAUUUAAAGAGGGUAAUCUCCACAAUUCUUGUUCCAUGACUCUUAUGACACAGUGAGAUGUUAGAGAAAUGAUUUGGUGUCAACAAUGACUUUUAUACAUUGAAUUAGGCUGUGCAUAAGCUGGUGUGGAAAAUUUUGGGUUAGUGUAUAUUCAGAGUAUUUUGGAAUUUGGAGCAGAUUUUAUAACACAGGAGGUACUAUAUAAACCCCAAUACCUGAUUUAAAAAUCUCCUCUCUGUGGUCUUUGAGUUUGAAUAGAGGUAUUUGUCAGAAACAUUCCGACUCCCUAGCAUGCAUAGUCCAUCUAUGAUCCAAGUUAAAAAUCAGUCUCCUUGAAAUUAUUUUUAAAAUCUUGCAGGACAGAGCACAUUUUUAUUAGAAUAAUAUCCAUUCACAUUUAUUGGAGAAAGCUUAGAAAAUAUAAAAGUGAAAAUAAAACAUACAUUAUAGCAGCACUCCAAGACAAAUGGGGUUUUUUGUUUGAUAUUCUCUCACAUGGUGUCUACAAACUAUUAUAUUAAAUAUUCUAUAUUUUAUCCCAAUUUUCAAAAUUGUUUUCAGGGAAUCUGAAAGAAUAUCUUUAAAAGUAGCUUCCCAAAUAGAUUAUUUUUAAAUCCUACAAUAAUGUUGAAUUUUAUGGUAAACAGCCAUGUAUGCACCACAUAAAACAGUGGUUCUCAACCUCUCUGAUGCUGUGACCUUUAAUACAGUUCCUCCUGUUGCGAUGACCCCCAACCAUGAAAUUAUUUUUGUUGCUACUUCAUAAGUCUAGUCUUGCUUCUGUAUGAAUCAUAUAAAUAUCUGGGUUUUCUGAGGAUCCCAGGUGACCCCUGUGAAAGGGUCACUCAGCCCCAAAGAGACUGUGACCCACAGGUUGAGAGCCACUGCCUUAGCCUCUACCAUUACUGCCUGACUGUGUUUCCAAACUUCCGUGAAUAACCAGUCAGUUCUCGUCUCUCCAGCCAUUUAUUAAUCAAGUUUCUCUUUCAUGCAUUUCAAACUGCAAAUGCCACUUCAUUCUAAAUAUUUGAGUGUUCAUUGUUUUAACUGGAGUUCAAUAUUAACAUAUGCUCUUCAGGCAAGAUUUACAUAUAACAAAUUGUGAAAUUCUUAUGAAUGUACACUCUUUUUCUAAUGUAUUUCUGACAUUCCUAUAAAGAUUAGAACAUUAGCAGCAAGACCAGAAAGCACUAGUGUCGCUUUCAACAGGGUCCUGCCUGGCCUUGAACUUGGUAUCCUGGGGCCACAAAGGUGUACUACUCUGUAUAAAGCUUCUUUGUUUUAGCGUAGUGCUUUUGAGAUGUGUCAUUUCACUUGUGCAUUGCUUGCUCUUUCUUACUGCUUGUUUCUAUUGUGCUUCAUAAGACAACAAUGUAUCCAUUUUCUUUGAAUAGAGUGGCUAUGCACAUUCUUAUACAAGUUACUUUGUGAGCAUAAAGCUUAUUUCUCUCAGAUAAUGCCUUUAGCCCAGAAGUCCUAGAUCUGAGAUAGGUGGUGUAUGUUUUUAAGAAGCAGCCAGGGGGCUGGGGAUUAAGCUCAGUGGUAGAGCGCUUACCUAGGAAGCGCAAGGCCCUGGGUUCGGUCCCCAGCUCCGAAAAAAAGAACCAAAAAAAAAAAAAAAAAAAAAAAAAGAAGCAGCCAGGCUUCCUUCAAACUGGUUCUGCCAUUUUGUAUUUAUAACCCCACGGGUAGAAGUUCCAGUCAUUGAGCAUCAAGACAUCUUAUGAUGAUUUCUUCCAUUGCUUCAAUAUUUGAAUAUUUGAAUAUUGUUGUUUCCUGGUUCUAAGAUCAGAAAAUACUCUCUUUGAUCUUCUUAUAGAUUUUUUUUUUGCUCAACACAUUUUCAGGACUGUAUCAUAAAAUAUCCAAAAACACUUUUGUCUCCAUUAUUCCUGUCAUAACUCACUUUAUGAGUCAUCUAAUCAAUGAUGUUUGUCUAGAAUCUUCUGCAAUAAAGCACAUUACUUGAAUAUGAUUGGGUAAAACUUUAUCCUAAGGUGUGGCUACUCAGAAUGACAAAUAACAAACGUGUUAGCUCCAUUCCUGAGGAGAGACUGGCUGAGUGGUGUGAAUUCAGGUCCCCUACAGGGUGAUAAAGAGGUCACCUUGUGCUGUAAGGCGUUUGAGGCUUGAGGGGCUUCGAGCUUCCACAUGGGUUCCCCAGAGUCAGCAGCCAUAUAUUGAAGGCCAUCAUAGAUGGUCAGUGGUGUUACUACUUGACUUGUCAGACCCUUAUCUUUAAUAAACAUUUCUACAAAAUUUUCAUGGCUUAACUUAAAAGGGACACUUUGCAUCAUAUAAAGUAUUUGAUUGCCAGACUCCCAGCUAUAGUUAUUUCUGGCAGGUUAGGUCAUUUUGCCUCAUUCUUUUGACAGAAUCUCACUUUACUUCACCAACGUGCUCAUGUGGGAAACAGCAUCCAUCUAUUUUCAACUGUCAGACCAUUUUUAUACUUUCAAAAUAUGACAUACCUAAUUAAAUAUUUUUAAGUAGACUACUGACUGAUUUGUUGGAUAUUAUAAUCUAAAAUUUUGUUCAAUAUUUUUAUGCCACAUAUUUUGUCUUACGCAUGUCUUUUAAAUUACAUGUAAUUAAAACUUGAUACUGGACCCAGAAUAUAAUGCAGUCCAUAAAACUUUGUGUUACUUUUGGCUUUAGAUCCAGAAUUGUGUUGAACUUGUUUUUCCAAAGGUGUUUUAUAUAUCUUAUAUAUUUCAGAUGUUACAUUUCCAUCGAUCACUUAGACUCGAUCUGUUUGAAUGAAUUGAAUGUGUAUGGCUGAUCUUCUAAUGCCGCAGUGUCUAAUCUUGGUUCAUGUUUUUAGUUAGAGCAUACCUUCAAGUUUGUUUUCCAGGAAGGAUGGUUUAUGAUAGCAACCAGCAGUGUGCACAGUGGUCUCUGGAUCCAGGAGCCUCAUAGCUUGGGACCUCACUUGGGAUCUGGACAGAGGGGUCAGAAGUUAAGAGCACUUACUGCUCUUGCAGUGGACCAGGGUUCAAUCCCCAGUACUCACAGAGGGGUUCCUAAGCAUCUGUCAUUGUAGUUCACAAGAAUCGGAAGCACUCUUAUGACUUCCCUAAGCACUAGGCACACAUGCGGUGCACAGCCAUACAUGCAGGUAAAACAUCCACACAUAUAUAAUAAAAAUAAAAUAAUCCCAGGGCUCUCUCUUAUCAACAGAUGAUGGCCAGUAGGUGAGGUUUGGCAAAAUAUGAUUUGUCUUCCGGUGAAAGAGAUGUGACAUCAUGUUAUCCGGGGUGCCUCACUCACUGCCCUGUGUCCUCCUUUUUCUCUGCUCUCCUUACCCAAGCUGAGCUUGCGCUUUCCCACUGAGGAGGCCCUUGCCCCCUUUGUCUCUUUCGGUCAUUACUUUCAACAUUCAAAUAUUUUAUCUUUCUUCUCCCCCGCCAGCCCCUGCUCCCGGCCCGUUGAAGGUAACUGUAUAAGUGUUUAAAAGGAAAGCUCCAGAGGCCGGUGAGCUUCAACCUUUGGGCGAGGCACAGAGGAAAAAAUGGAAAAGAGAAGGAAAGGAAGCCACGCUAUGUGAGGCACCAGUAUGUGGUGCCACCACAGCAGCACGAAGCUUGUGAGAGUGGGAGUAGAACUUUAGGAAAGAAGUGGGAAACCAAAAUAUUAGAACAAGCAUACUUUGGUUCUGGCCAUCACCCCAAAGAAAAAGUCAAAAGAAGAAAAUCAGAGAAGUUGCAGUUUUUCCCUUGGAGGUGGCAAACUUUACACACUUCCUGACACGUUGAAGGGACACUAGCCCAUGGGAGCACAUGGCUCUGGAAGCUCUUGCCCUUUUCCCCAAUUCCCUCUAGCUUGCUAAAAACCAUUAGAUUACAGAUUACAUUCCUAACGCUAAGGUCUAUUCCCUUUAUCUCUCUCCCUUGCCCACUUUCUCCACUCUUCCUUCCCCAUCAUCCUCUCUCUCCUGGCUUUGUCAGUCACUACCCUCUGUCCCUCUGGGGCAAAUAAAUCUCCUAUUGCUAAAAACUUGGUCUUGGGGUGUCGUGAGGCAACCCUGGGAGGUCUCCUGCAAUGGUGGCUUGUGGGUAAGUGUGACAAUGGAGUGGGAAUUCUGGGAAGGAAAAUAACAGUAUCUCUUUUAAGGAAUAAUUUUAUUUCUUUGGCAUGGGUGAACCCACCUUCCUAGGGGUGGCACAUCCUUCUUGAUGGGUCACCUGCACUGACCAGGUGAUUGACCUGCCCACCUGGAACGUCAGGUCUCCACCCAAGCCAGAGCUCUAUUGUUUUGAUCAGAAGGAGUUUUCCCUUAUUGGCCUUUAUUGAAACUCUAACAUUAUCCCCUCAAGGGUAACCCUAUAAUCAUUUGAGAACAGAUGAUUGACCAGAGUCCCCAGAUACUUUGAGCAUCUCUGGCUUCUGGCUAGGAUGAAGCUGCCAAGGGCACCAAGGACAUUUCUGGCUUUCAGCCAGCAAAGAAGCUGAUUAUCUUUCUUUUUCCCUGUUUUCCACCCAAACUGCCCAGCCUUUGCCCCUUUACCUCCUGCUCUUGUCAUUUCCCCCUGUGAAGAAGUGACCCUAACUGACAUUACAGAAUUAGGACAAUGACUGAUCUGACUUCCUCCAGCCAAAUGGGGACACUGACCGUGGCAGUUGGAAGACCUUCCCGUGGGCUUAUCUAAAAGACUGUCUAAUGUAGGUGGAGAGGAAGUCCUUGACCUAUGCUGAAAAGAAACGUUAAGAGAUCCCUUAAGGGACAGUCACAGCCUUGCAUAGUCCUAGGUAGGGAACCAAGAGAAGUCAGAACAGACAACAUUUGUUAGUUAUCAAAAUCAAAGUCCACUAGCAUCUAUUUUGCCCACCUUUUAAACUAAACAUCAUUGCUGCUAGGCACACUGCUGGGUCUGGCAUGGCCUUGGUGGGGACAGAAAGACAAGAGUUCCUGCCCCUGGGACAGGGCCAGAGAAUGUGGGCCUCAAUGACUGUUGUUGGCUGCCGCGGGCAUAAGGCUUGUUUGUAUAAUAAUGUGCAUAUGUUUACAUUCUUCCAAGGAAUGUCCUCUCUGUUCACUUUAAUGACUCCAUGAUAAUCAAACAGCACAUAGUCCAAAAGGUGUGGCUAAUGCCCUUAGCAAAAUGGUAAACACUGGGACCUUAAGGACAGCCCUUAAGGCGGUAGAAAAAGAACUCUAAAAUGUGAGUUUGAAAAUAUAUAAUUUCUCAACUAUGCAAAAAAGAGGGUUCCAAUAUUAAUUAUGAGGUGCUUCAUGAAUCUAAAGGAGCAAAGGCAGCUGCACUAUGAGCCAGCAUGUUAGAAAGAUACAAAGGCAGUCAGAUUCCCGAGUUCAAGGUCAGCCUGGGACACAGCACGGUUAGGCCCAGCCACGGUAGAAAUGGUAAUUUCAGGAUUGGGUAGGGGAUUCGAUGCAGGUAGUUUAUUAUCUGUGCCUCAAAGAGGCCCGCAGAUCUCUGAAUAAGAAUCUCUGUGUACCGAGUGCUGAUUCAUAGGACAAUCAAAAGGAAACCUAAAGUAAAUGACUGGAUUGAUAUGUAAAAUCAAAGAUUGGCCUUACUAUCUGCAGGAGAAGAGCUAUCCAGAAAGGUUUUAGAAUAGCAAGAGAGAAGCGCUCAGAGAACUAUCCUGAGCAGAGCGUAGAGCUGCCGAGAGAACUCCGAGAGAGCUCCGAGGAAAGCGCAACAGACAGAAAACAGGCUGGAAAGCCAUGUCCAGCAGAGCACAGGCCACCAGCUUGGCCCAUUUGAAUUUGAGUUGUUUGGCCACUUCCAGAAGCCCCUUCCUCAGAACCCCUCUUCAAACCAAGGCUGGUCCUUGGCAGCACACACCGUCAAUUCCUUUAAUCCCAACAGUAGGGAGGCAGAGGAAGGCAGAUCCCCGAUUUUGAGGCCAGAUUGGUUUACAAAUUGAAUUUCAGGACAGUCAAGACUACCCAUAGAAACCCCCCCCCCCUCUCUCUCUCUCACACACACACACACACACACACACACACACACACCCUUCAUUGUCAAGGAAAGUACACUGAACACAACAUUAUUUAUUUCUUUCAAAGCUAGCUUUAGAGACCUAUUCAGUGGGGUCACAGAACGAAUCAAAAGGUCUAAGUGUGGGAAAGAGACCUGUAGGAAGUAGAGAAGUAACAAGGAGGCUGGGAAAGAGAGGAAACGGCAGGGACUGAGAGUAGACAAUGGACAAUAUAAAACUGUCAGAGAACAAGCUUAAGCAAUAAGAGUAAUGUGCAAUGUGCAAGAAAGGAAAGUCAUCUAACCUCCCCUAACUUGUGGUGGCCAGUUUGUCAAUACAAAUUUAUCAUUAUGUAUAGAUUAGUUCUUGAUUUCAGCUAAGAACAGGUGCUUAGCCUUAUAUAUCAGUUUCUGGGAUACAUACAUACAUACACACACAAUGUAUAUCGAUCUACUAUUGAUCAGUAUCUGGAUAAGGAUGUGUGUAGACAGCUUUAAGACAGUAUUGUAUAGCAUGAACAGAGAGUAAAAGAGGAGCUAGGUCCAGAGCCUGGGUAUCUUGGCUAAACAUUAUCCCCAUUUAUUAACUUUAUUAACAUUUAUUAACACUUUAUUAACAUUUCUCACGCACUGUAGAUUCAGAUGGAGCAAUGGCCUAGCCAUAAAAUUAGUCACUAGAUAUAAUUCAUGAAAUAUAAGUUCAUGUAAAGGCAAUGCUGAAAUCUCUAUAGCUUUAUGGCUCAGAUUAUGUGUAUGUGUGUAUUAAGUUCAUUGACAUUCAUCUCCACUGUUAUGAAUUAUGCGUUAAGUGUGGACAUGUGUGUUUCCGUAUGUGUUUUAAGUGUUAGGCAUUAAGUUUACAGUCUCACACACACUACACACAUGCAAUCUACAUCCCUAACAUGAUUUUUCUCAUAGCAAACAUUUAUUUAAAAACUAAGUUUUAUGUUUUAAAAGAAAUUAAAAAUAUACUUAAAAAGAAAGAAUUAGCAUUUUGUAAAUUCUUGUUCAUCUUUUGCCUAUCUGUAUGGAAUUCUCAAAGCACUAACAAAAAGGUUUGCAGUGGAAAAGCAAAGAAAAAAUUUAAUCCAAUCAUAACUUUACUGAUGUCUACACUUUACGUCUAAAAUGUCAUAGAUGAAAGUUUUGCUUUUUCGUUGCAUCCAAGUAGCCACGAUGGUUUAGUAGGAGAGAUUUAAAGACACUGACAAACACUAAGUCAACCAUGCAAUUUGUGGGAAUCUGAGGUGAGCAAAUUGUAUUUUCUGAAGUCUGUUUGUCUAGGUCAGCUGCUUCAGUCAAAGACACAGCAAUUACAUCAUCCACACUUGGACCGUGCGUCCUUCUAAAGAGCUACAGCCAUCAAACAUUAUACUUACAUAAGCCACGUGCAUCCAGGACCUAGAGCUCUGUGGAUGACCCUUCCUGCCUCCUACUCUUACCCACCAAGGUGUGGUUCUGCUGGGAUGGGGCCUGCAUCUUCCAGAGGACCUAGGAAGGGACUCUCCUACAAGUGGAAUUACUUUACUUUAACCACAGUGAGCUGGGUGAUAAUGUGACUCUGUUGGUGUCAUUUUUGCUAAGUUCGUUAUCAUCAAAUCUCUUCCUGGAUUCUAACCAUAUUGCUAGUACCUGCACAGAUAGCCAUCAAGAGCUAUGGAAAUGUGCUUGCUCCACCAACUGGUCAGCUAUAAUAUUUUAUUAGAGAAACAGAAAGAAAAAAAUAUUGUUUACCUAUGGGAAAAGUGAACAGCAAUUACAAAUAAAAAUUGAAGUGAGUUUUAAAAAAAUAAGUCUCAAGAUCUUUUUGGAAGCCCAUAAUUGUGAAAUCAACUAUUAUUUCUGGCUUUUUUUUUUUUUUUAAAAUCAUGUUUUCUUUCCUAUUUCUGAAAUCUCAUAUAUUUACAAGGUUUUAUGCUCUUGUUCCUUGCAUGAGCCAAUAACAUUUUCCAGGGGUGUGAAAUAUUAAAUGAGAACUCAACUCCCAACACAUGCCAAAUAGAUUAACUCUAUCACAGAGCGCCCUCAAACUCCAUUAAUAUGUGCAUUGUCUCCACAUAUAUGCAUACUGGGCCUGACUGACAUCUUUAGCUGUUUCUUUGAGAUUUUCCUGGGCAAGUGCUGUGCUCCAAGCCCUAAAGGGACUCCAGACAGUCAGUCAUCUGUCUCCAUGCUUGCAGAAAGUGUGGGGGAAUCAAGUCAUCUCACAAAGCUUACUGUUAUCGAGUGGAAAUGUCGUUAUUUGCUCAUUCACGGCAUAUCCUGAGCACUUACUGAAUUCCAGUCUCCGAGCAAGCAAGGAACAUUUGCAUCAGAGAAAGAAGGGACAACUGAGGAAGAGAAUACUUUAGUACAGGAUAACCUUUAGCACAGGGUAGCCCGGCUGGGACAAUUUAUUUUGGAAUGCCAUCCACUAAAAUGCUGCUGUUGUGUGAUUGUUUUAAGUGCUGACCCUGCAAAGAAACCAAUUUGUGCCUUUUACAAGCGUUAAAAUCAGAGAACGUGGUGGAGAACAAAACGUGGGGGUGGUAGUUCCGAACACGUAGCCUGCCUAGACCUUUGUCUGGAAAACAGUAUAGAAUCUGGCAAUAUAUCACUUAAAUGGAAUGCGCCAAAUAAUUGCUGUGUUUGAAGAGUCAGAGAGGAGGCAGUCACUAAAGCAGGAAGAUAAACCUGAAUGAACCUAAAAUCAGAAUAAAUACAAAUACCCCAACUCAAAGCAAUUAGGCUCCAAAUCAUAAUGUUUCAUCAUAAUGGGAGAGACUGAGAUGGCGCAAGAGGAUUCCGAAGCUCCGAGUACCUCUGACUCUUUUGUUACCUGAUUUAUCACCCAGGGAACAGCGUCUGCUCACUCCCACACACUGUCUCACCCUCUUGUAUUUGAAGGUGCUGACCGUGACUCAGCCUGCGCCUCGUCUUGCUUUCAAGCCUCCCUACACAAUGCAUGCCAGUACUUCAGGAUUCAGCUUAGCAGCACGAUUCAGGCUGUUUCCAUUUUCCACAUCAUCUUUCCCCACCCGAGGACCAUCACCUGCCCUCGCUUUUGCGGUAGCCGGAUCUGGGUGAAUACAAGGACCACUGAGUGAAUGAUUGCUCUCUCUCUCUCUCUUGCUCCGCUCUGCGGCCUUUCUAACUUCCCACAGGGCACGGCUUGCCUGCCCUCGUUGCUUUUGCACAAGGUCAAAUGUGAAAUAGCCACAUUUCAGGAACUGCUUUUGUAGAAACAGGACACGCAUGGAACCCAUAGCAAAUGCCUCAGAAGCCAGCACCUUGCAGCAGAUAAAGGACGAGUGUAUGUAGAUCCCAUGGCUCCUCUCGAGCCCAUCUUGGUUAUUAGGGGUUCUGUCUAUUCUCCUAGAUGUGAUUGUUACAUACACUCUCUCUCUGUCACUCUGUCUCUGUCUCUGUCUCUGCCUCUCUCUCUCUCUCUCUCUCUCUCUCUCUCUGUCUCUCUCUGUCUCUCUCUCUCUCUCUGUGUGUGUGUGUGUGUAUGUGUGUGUUAAAACAAAAGUGCAGGUUUGAAGGAACUGAAGGAGUUUGCAACCCCAUAAGAACAACAAUGCCAACCAACCAGAGCUCUCAGGGACUAAACCACUACCCAAAGUCUACACACGAACUGACCCACGGCUCCAGCUGCAUAUGUAGCAGAGCAUGACCUUGUUGGGCACCAAUGGGAAGAGAAGCCCUGGUCCUGCCAAGGCUGGACCCCCUCAGUAUAGGGGAAUGCGGGGAUGGUGGGGUGGGGAGAGGGGGUGGUUGGGGAAGGGGAACACCCUUACAGAAGAAUGGAAGGGGGAUGGGAUAGGGGGCUUAUGGCCAGGAAACCGGGAAAGGGAAUAACAUUUGAAAUGUAAAUUAAAAAUAUCCAAUAAAAAAUCAUAAAAAAACAAAAGUGAAAUCACUUUAAAACUUUUUAUUAAGUAUUAUUUGUGUAUUUGUGUAUAUAUAUAGUAUAUAUGUAUAUGCAUGUUUAUGAGUCUGUGCACAUAUGUACAUAUGUGUGUAUAGGCCAGACCACCACAUCAAUGGUCACACCACAUGGUAUAAGUCGGUAUGGUCUAUCUUUCCUGACAGGCUGCUGUUGUAGUAUUCAGGGUCCACCUCUGUGGGAAUCCAUUGGUGACCUUUCUUCCCUGUAAACAAAUCUAGCUCUGGGAGCUGCUUUAGCAGGUAAGGGCAAUCUGGGGAUACAGCUGCACAUAGUGGUGUGUAUCUGUAAUCCCAGCACUGCUUGUGAGAUCCCAGAAGCUCCCAGGCCAGCUAGCCUGAAGUGUGUAAAUUAGCAGUAGAAAACAAGAGUGACCCUACUUCAACGAGGUGGAAAGUAAAAACUGAUUGCCAAAAGCAGUCCUCUGACCCCCACAUGUAACAUCCCCCGACUAAAUAACUAUUUUAAAAGAAAUCAAAUCUGUCUUCCCCAAAGAUAGUAAAAAUAUAUGCUUGGAAUAUCAUUCCAAAAGUGCCAGGUUUGAUUCCUAGCAAAAAAAAAAAAAAAAAAAAAAGAAAGAAGGAAA
Non-coding RNA from Rattus norvegicus (Norway rat), 18050 nucleotides. The record is from RefSeq and is a predicted model, not a curated record. Lineage: Eukaryota; Metazoa; Chordata; Mammalia; Rodentia; Muridae.